This 399-nucleotide long non-coding RNA is filed under the name Brassica napus (rape). RNAcentral's name for it is "long non-coding RNA (BNAP_LNC027204)". The record is from RNAcentral. Lineage: Eukaryota; Viridiplantae; Streptophyta; Magnoliopsida; Brassicales; Brassicaceae.
AAAGCUUUCCGUCAGUAGCCAAGCGAGCCGUUGCAGAUGGGCAUCUCCUAGGCAAAGCUACUCCAGAAAUGGUUUUGGUGGUUACUCCAAAAAAAACCUGCCAUUCCUACAAACUUUUUUCAAAUUGUUCCCUCUUUUAGCUUUACACAGCAGUCCCUGCUCACAACCUUCUCUCAAACCCCUGGGCAAUAGCCCUGCCGGUGAGGAGGAUCGAACACUCCGGCACAAAACCCAGAGAUCCGCCUACCAAUGGAGGCUGCCACCUCCGCCUCUCCUCCUCUACCGCCUAAAGCGCUUCUGGUUCUGACUUCCGGUGACUACCGGAGCUGAACCCAACAUCUCCCACUUCAGAACUUGUGCUAGAAAGUUUAAGGGUUUCCUUGCUUCUAGUUCUUAACA